CAGUAGCCGCGGGAACACGUAGGGUGCAAGCGUUAAUCGGAAUUACUGGGCGUAAAGCGUGCGUAGGCGGCUUUUUAAGUCGGAUGUGAAAUCCCUGAGCUUAACUUAGGAAUUGCAUUCGAUACUGGGAAGCUAGAGUAUGGGAGAGGAUGGUAGAAUUCCAGGUGUAGCGGUGAAAUGCGUAGAGAUCUGGAGGAAUACCGAUGGCGAAGGCAGCCAUCUGGCCUAAUACUGACGCUGAGGUACGAAAGCAUGGGGAGCAAACAGGAUUAGAUACCCCCGGUAGUCCCUGUCUCUUAUA
This 301-nucleotide ribosomal RNA is filed under the name uncultured bacterium. RNAcentral describes it as "partial 16S ribosomal RNA". It matches the Rfam family "Bacterial small subunit ribosomal RNA", at positions 509 to 808 of the family's 1533-position model. The record is from RNAcentral.